This 497-nucleotide ribosomal RNA is filed under the name uncultured bacterium. RNAcentral's name for it is "partial 16S ribosomal RNA". It matches the Rfam family "Bacterial small subunit ribosomal RNA", at positions 28 to 507 of the family's 1533-position model. The record is from RNAcentral.
GAUGAACGCUGGCGGCGUGCCUAAUACAUGCAAGUCGAGCUAACAGACGAGGAGCUUGCUCCUCUGACGUUAGCGGCGGACGGGUGAGUAACACGUGGAUAACCUACCUAUAAGACUGGGAUAACUUCGGGAAACCGGAGCUAAUACCGGAUAAUAUAUUGAACCGCAUGGUUCAAUAGUGAAAGACGGUUUUGCUGUCACUUAUAGAUGGAUCCGCGCCGCAUUAGCUAGUUGGUAAGGUAACGGCUUACCAAGGCGACGAUGCGUAGCCGACCUGAGAGGGUGAUCGGCCACACUGGAACUGAGACACGGUCCAGACUCCUACGGGAGGCAGCAGUAGGGAAUCUUCCGCAGUGGGCGAAAGCCUGACGGAGCAACGCCGCGUGAGUGAUGAAGGUCUUCGGAUCGUAAAACUCUGUUAUUAGGGAAGAACAAAUGUGUAAGUAACUAUGCACGUCUUGACGGUACCUAAUCAGAAAGCCACGGCUAACUACGUG